This 492-nucleotide ribosomal RNA is filed under the name uncultured bacterium. RNAcentral's name for it is "partial 16S ribosomal RNA". It matches the Rfam family "Bacterial small subunit ribosomal RNA", at positions 29 to 507 of the family's 1533-position model. The record is from RNAcentral.
AGUGAACGCUGGCGGUAGGCCUAACACAUGCAAGUCGAACGGCGGCACAGUAAGAGCUUGCUCUUACGGGUGGCGCGUGGCGGACGGGUGAGGAAUACAUCGGAAUCUACUUUUUCGUGGGGGAUAACGUAGGGAGACUUACGCUAAUACCGCAUACGACCUACGGGUGAAAGCAGGGGAUCUUCGGACCUUGCGCGAUUGAAUGAGCCGAUGUCGGAUUAGCUAGUUGGCGGGGUAAAGGCCCACCAAGGCGACGAUCCGUAGCUGGUCUGAGAGGAUGAUCAGCCACACUGGAACUGAGACACGGUCCAGACUCCUACGGGAGGCAGCAGUGGGGAAUAUUGGACAAUGGGCGCAAGCCUGAUCCAGCCAUACCGCGUGGGUGAAGAAGGCCUUCGGGUUGUAAAGCCCUUUUGUUGGGAAAGAAAAGCAGCAGGUUAAUACCCCGCUGUUCUGACGGUACCCAAAGAAUAAGCACCGGCUAACUUCGUG